GACGAACGCUGGCGGCGUGCUUAACACAUGCAAGUCGAACGGAAAGGCCCUGCUUUUGUGGGGUGCUCGAGUGGCGAACGGGUGAGUAACACGUGAGUAACCUGCCCUUGACUUUGGGAUAACUUCAGGAAACUGGGGCUAAUACCGGAUAGGAGCUCCUGCUGCAUGGUGGGGGUUGGAAAGUUUCGGCGGUUGGGGAUGGACUCGCGGCUUAUCAGCUUGUUGGUGGGGUAGUGGCUUACCAAGGCUUCGACGGGUAGCCGGCCUAAGAGGGUGACCGGCCACAUUGGGACUGAGAUACGGCCCAGACUCCUACGGGAGGCAGCAGUGGGGAAUAUUGCACAAUGGGCGGAAGCCUGAUGCAGCAACGCCGCGUGCGGGAUGACGGCCUUCGGGUUGUAAACCGCUUUCGCCUGUGACGAAGCGUGAGUGACGGUAAUGGGUAAAGAAGCACCGGCUAACUACGUG
This 468-nucleotide ribosomal RNA is filed under the name uncultured bacterium. Its description in RNAcentral is "partial 16S ribosomal RNA". It matches the Rfam family "Bacterial small subunit ribosomal RNA", at positions 28 to 507 of the family's 1533-position model. The record is from RNAcentral.